UCUUUCGUUUGUUAGUUAUUACGAUCUUUCAGGUUUCCAUCAUUGCUAUGGUGGUUACUAUGGACUCUGCUGUCGCUGAUGUACUUCCACCAGUUUUUUCUUCUUCUUUUUUUAUUGCCAACCUUCUCCUGCUUCAGGUAAGAACGCAACUGUGUUAGUAAAUCAGAAAUGCAAUGAGCUAUAUUGCCUUGACACCAAUCAGUUUUGUCAAUAACAAAGUUUGACAAAUUUAGAUAGAUAGAUGUACUUUAUUGAUUGUGACUAGACUAGGCUUUCUUGAUUGUGCUCUCACUCUACUUUUAUUACUGUUUUACAGAUGACCAGUUUCUCUCAUCUCUCAGUCCCUCUACCUUCCUUUACACAACCAACGGCUCUUUUAAGAGCCAACCAUUUGUCAACAACAAUAUCAGAGGCAAGCUGGGACAGAAGUCUAUACCAUAUAGGGUGCACUUUCCCCACAGAUCAGAGAUGGAGGAUUGAGCAUCUUUUAGUUUUGCUGUUUCGGCACUAUGGCAGCAGAUGAGGCUACCCUUAAGGAGCUGAUCAGAAAGGCACAGAGCCUGGCAGAGCAUCUCAACUCACUAGUCGAGCCUGCACAGGUGAACAAAAGAAGAUCAAAACCACCAGUCCAGAUCUGAUGGAGAAAGCGGGAUAAAGAUGGCAGCAUUAUUGCCCAGACCAUCAAGUCCUCUUCAUCCAAAUCCCGUGGUGGAAGGCCCAGAUGACUUUACCUCAGUGUUCCUGAGGGGACAUCAGUGGAGAUGCCUGAUGAGGAAGAGGCAGGACUCAAAUAUUGCCAAUGGAAAUGCCACACCAGAUUUGUGACUCCCCCCCAGAGAAUGUGUCUGUCAUUGCUGGGAGGCCUGUGGUGUUCAUCAACAUGAAAGGACGAGAUGAUCUGACCCUCCCAGAGCUGUGAUGUGGUGGCUGCUGUGCCAGCUGGACCCCAGGGCUGUACCAUGUCCAAGUCAGUGGCUACUGGCCUGCCACCAUCCAUUUCCAUACCAUCUAUGAUGUAGCUAUGAUUCAAGCUUUACGGGAGAUGAAGUUGGCUGCUCCAGGGAUUUCCCACCUGACCUUUAUGAGAAUGCUGGAAGC
Acanthopagrus latus (yellowfin seabream) is the source of this 1098-nucleotide long non-coding RNA. RefSeq lists it as uncharacterized. Lineage: Eukaryota; Metazoa; Chordata; Actinopteri; Spariformes; Sparidae. The record is from RefSeq and is a predicted model, not a curated record. The transcript is spliced from 5 exons.